GAUGAACGCUGGCGGCGUGCUUAACACAUGCAAGUCGAGCGAGUGAGUUCUUCGGAACGAUCUAGCGGCGGACGGGUGAGUAACACGUGGGCAACCUGCCUCAUAGAGGGGAAUAGCCUCCCGAAAGGGAGAUUAAUACCGCAUAAAAUUAUCGAGUGGCAUCACAUGAUAAUCAAAGGAGUAAUCCGCUAUGAGAUGGGCCCGCGGCGCAUUAGCUAGUUGGUGAGGUAACGGCUCACCAAGGCGACGAUGCGUAGCCGACCUGAGAGGGUGAUCGGCCACAUUGUGACUGAGACACGGCCCAGACUCCUACGGGAGGCAGCAGUGGGGAAUAUUGCACAAUGGGGGAAACCCUGAUGCAGCAACGCCGCGUGAGUGAUGAAGGUCUUCGGAUUGUAAAGCUCUGUCUUUGGGGACGAUAAUGACGGUACCCAAGGAGGAAGCCACGGCUAACUACGUGCCAGCAGCCGCAGUAA
This 476-nucleotide ribosomal RNA is filed under the name uncultured bacterium. RNAcentral's name for it is "partial 16S ribosomal RNA". It matches the Rfam family "Bacterial small subunit ribosomal RNA", at positions 28 to 523 of the family's 1533-position model. The record is from RNAcentral.